GAUGAACGCUGGCGGCGUGCUUAACACAUGCAAGUCGAACGGAAAGGCCAGUGCUUGCACUGGUACUCGAGUGGCGAACGGGUGAGCAACACGUGGGUGAUCUGCCCUGCACUUCGGGAUAAGCCUGGGAAACUGGGUCUAAUACCGGAUAGGACAAUGGUUUGGAUGCCGUUGUGGAAAGUUUUUUCGGUGUGGGAUGAGCUCGCGGCCUAUCAGCUUGUUGGUGGGGUAAUGGCCUACCAAGGCGUCGACGGGUAGCCGGCCUGAGAGGGUGUACGGCCACAUUGGGACUGAGAUACGGCCCAGACUCCUACGGGAGGCAGCAGUGGGGAAUAUUGCACAAUGGGCGCAAGCCUGAUGCAGCGACGCCGCGUGGGGGAUGACGGCCUUCGGGUUGUAAACUCCUUUCGCUAGGGACGAAGCGUAUUUGUGACGGUACCUGGAGAAGAAGCACCGGCUAACUACGUG
Molecule: ribosomal RNA, 468 nt
Filed under: uncultured bacterium
Lineage: Bacteria
Description: partial 16S ribosomal RNA
Rfam family: Bacterial small subunit ribosomal RNA
Source: RNAcentral